UACGUGGGGUGCGAGCGUUAAUCGGAAUUACUGGGCGUAAAGCGUGCGCAGGCGGCUUUGCAAGACAGAUGUGAAAUCCCCGGGCUUAACCUGGGAACUGCAUUUGUGACUGCAUGGCUGGAGUGCGGCAGAGGGGGAUGGAAUUCCGCGUGUAGCAGUGAAAUGCGUAGAUAUGCGGAGGAACACCGAUGGCGAAGGCAAUCCCCUGGGCCUGCACUGACGCUCAUGCACGAAAGCGUGGGGAGCAAACAGG
Molecule: ribosomal RNA, 253 nt
Filed under: uncultured bacterium
Lineage: Bacteria
Description: partial 16S ribosomal RNA
Rfam family: Bacterial small subunit ribosomal RNA
Source: RNAcentral